Ctenocephalides felis (cat flea) is the source of this 72-nucleotide non-coding RNA. The record is from the annotation of a RefSeq genome assembly. Lineage: Eukaryota; Metazoa; Arthropoda; Insecta; Siphonaptera; Pulicidae.
UCCCAUGUUGUCUAGUGGUUAGGAUGCCUGGUUCUCAACCAGGAGGCCGGGGUUCGAUUCCUCGCGUGGGCC